CGGAAAAAGAGGAGUGGCGAACGGGUGAGUAACACGUGGGUAACCUGCCCAUCAGAAGGGGAUAACACUUGGAAACAGGUGCUAAUACCGUAUAACAAUCAAAACCGCAUGGUUUUGAUUUGAAAGGCGCUUUCGGGUGUCGCUGAUGGAUGGACCCGCGGUGCAUUAGCUAGUUGGUGAGGUAACGGCUCACCAAGGCCACGAUGCAUAGCCGACCUGAGAGGGUGAUCGGCCACAUUGGGACUGAGACACGGCCCAAACUCCUACGGGAGGCAGCAGUAGGGAAUCUUCGGCAAUGGACGAAAGUCUGACCGAGCAACGCCGCGUGAGUGAAGAAGGUUUUCGGAUCGUAAAACUCUGUUGUUAGAGAAGAACAAGGAUGAGAGCAACUGUUCAUCCCUUGACGGUAUCUAACCAGAAAGCCACGGCUAACUACGUGCCAGCAGCCGCGGUAAUACGUAGGUGGCAAGCGUUGUCCGGAUUUAUUGGGCGUAAAGCGAGCGCAGGCGGUUUCUUAAGUCUGAUGUGAAAGCCCCCGGCUCAACCGGGGAGGGUCAUUGGAAACUGGGAGACUUGAGUGCAGAAGAGGAGAGUGGAAUUCCAUGUGUAGCGGUGAAAUGCGUAGAUAUAUGG
RNAcentral lists this ribosomal RNA (633 nucleotides) under uncultured Bacilli bacterium. Its description in RNAcentral is "bacterial SSU rRNA". It matches the Rfam family "Bacterial small subunit ribosomal RNA", at positions 82 to 701 of the family's 1533-position model. Lineage: Bacteria; Bacillati; Bacillota; Bacilli. The record is from RNAcentral.